This 226-nucleotide non-coding RNA is filed under the name Massilia sp. The record is from RNAcentral. Lineage: Bacteria; Pseudomonadati; Pseudomonadota; Betaproteobacteria; Burkholderiales; Oxalobacteraceae.
UUAUAAUCUCGGGGUUCUGGUGCCCGCAUGCGCGUCUGCGCGUGCAGUUAAACGGGAAACACGAAGCGGCGUCGCCUCCGGCGGCGUGCCAACGUGUGCUGCCCCCGCAACGGUAAACAAGCGUCGCCGCACGGCGACAGGCCGCCCCGACAGCCACUGUGCUUGCAUAGGAAGGUGGGACGGUCCGUCUUGGAGCCCGGAGACCGGCCAGACAGGGGAAGCCGGC